Molecule: long non-coding RNA, 578 nt
Organism: Capsella rubella
Lineage: Eukaryota; Viridiplantae; Streptophyta; Magnoliopsida; Brassicales; Brassicaceae
Exons: 6
Source: RefSeq, a predicted model, not a curated record
CCUCAACAUCUCUUUGAGAAAUCAAAUCACAGAGACUCUUCAGUCUUCUUCACAAAAUAGAAAAAAAAAAAGACAAUGAGAAAAGAGAGAGAGCGUACGUUCUCUAUUGGCGUAAGAUCUAUCGAGUUGAUGAAUUCUGAAUAAUGACGAAGAUUGAGAACUGAAUUAGGGUUGAUGAUGACCCAAACAUGCAACAACGACAUCAAUGGUUAUGGUGCGAGCGAGGCUCAUCGGAGGAGGACGCUGUUUGUUUCUUCUUCAAGUCUCAUCUGUUUUAACGACCAAGUUGAGAUCGGAGAGAUGUUUGGAAGAAUGAAUGAAGUUUCAUAGCGUAAACUUGGCCGACAGUGGACCAGUGGCGGAGGUAGAGUAAUAUUAGGGGUGUCAUAUGACACCCAUGAAACAAAAAAAAUACAGGGACUGAGUCCUGUUGCUGCUUGCUUCUCUAGAUGGGGAGAUACAUGUGUUCCCCUUCAUCUGCGUUUAUACUACCAUGUACGCAAAACAUACUCUUCUUGUUUUCCAGGAUUGUGGACACCACUCUAUCAUCAUUCAUCAACACACUUAAGGGAUUUAGG